Molecule: ribosomal RNA, 775 nt
Filed under: uncultured bacterium
Lineage: Bacteria
Description: bacterial SSU rRNA
Rfam family: Bacterial small subunit ribosomal RNA
Source: RNAcentral
UGCAAGUCGAGUGCGCGCCUGUAGCAAUACAGGUGGCGCACGGCGCACGGGUGCGUAACACGUGGGUAAUCUGCCCUCUGAUGGGGAAUAACUCGCCGAAAGGCGAGCUAAUUCCGCAUAAUAUUCCGGGAACUUCGGUUUUUGGACUGAAAGGCGUAAGUCGUCGGAGGAGGAGCCCGCGCACGAUUAGCUAGUUGGUAGGGUAAUGGCCUACCAAGGCUUUGAUCGUUAGCUGGUCUGAGAGGAUGGCCAGCCACACUGGAACUGAGACACGGUCCAGACUCCUACGGGAGGCAGCAGUGGGGAAUCUUGCACAAUGGGCGAAAGCCUGAUGCAGCGACGCCGCGUGGGGGAUGAAGCUUCUCGGAGUGUAAACCCCUUUCGAUCCGGACGAAUGCCCGCAAGGGAUUGACGGUACGGAUAUAAGAAGCCCCGGCUAACUACGUGCCAGCAGCCGCGGUAAUACGUAGGGGGCCAGCGUUGUUCGGAAUUACUGGGUGUAAAGGGUUCGUAGGCGGUGCGGCAAGUUGGGAGUGAAAUCUCUGGGCUCAACCCAGAGACGGCUUCCAAAACUGCCGUGCUUGAGUGUGAGAGAGGCUCGUGGAAUUGCAGGUGUAGCGGUGAAAUGCGUAGAUAUCUGCAGGAACACCCGUGGCGAAAGCGGCGAGCUGGAUCACUACUGACGCUGAAGAACGAAAGCUAGGGGAGCAAACAGGAUUAGAUACCCUGGUAGUCCUAGCCCUAAACGAUCAGGACUUGGGGUGUCACCCGUUCG